Molecule: long non-coding RNA, 289 nt
Filed under: Solanum tuberosum (potato)
Lineage: Eukaryota; Viridiplantae; Streptophyta; Magnoliopsida; Solanales; Solanaceae
Description: long non-coding RNA (STUB_LNC003158)
Source: RNAcentral
GUAAAAGAAAUACUAGGUGAAGGUUAGUGCUUAUCUUUAGAAGUGACAUAUAAUCUUUUAUCUUUAAAUGUUUCCAGACUUACCGAAAAAUCUUAAUUGGUCGAAAUCCAAUCAUAUACCAUGUUAUCAAUCUAAAAAGCCUAGAAAUUUGAUAAUUCUGAGCAAGAUUUAGAAUGCCCUGAAAAUCAGUUUGAUGUUUUUGUUUUGGGGUUCUAAAGGUCUCUAAUUUUCAGAGAACUUUUCAUAUGCUUAGUCAUAGUAGCUUAGGCAAGAGAUAUCCACAGUGAAG